GUAGGGAAUAUUGGACAAUGGGCGCAAGCCUGAUCCAGCCACGCCGCGUGGGUGAUGAAGGCCUUCGGGUUGUAAAGCCCUGUCGGGAGGGACGAACGCCAUCCUUCGGGGUGGCUUGACGGUACCUCGCAAGAAAGCACCGGCUAACUCCGUGCCAGCAGCCGCGGUAAUACGGAGGGUGCAAGCGUUGCUCGGAAUUACUGGGCGUAAAGCGCACGCAGGCGGCGCCGUAAGUCGGGUGUGAAAGCCCCGGGCUCAACCCGGGAAUUGCAUUCGAAACUGCGGUGCUCGAGUUCGGGAGAGGGAAGUGGAAUUCCUGGUGUAGAGGUGAAAUUCGUUGAUAUCAGGAGGAACACCGGCGGCGAAAGCGGCUUCCUGGCCCGAUACUGACGCUCAUGUGCGAAAGCGUGGGGAGCAAACAGGAUUAGAAACCCGGGUAGUCC
RNAcentral lists this ribosomal RNA (443 nucleotides) under uncultured bacterium. RNAcentral's name for it is "bacterial SSU rRNA". It matches the Rfam family "Bacterial small subunit ribosomal RNA", at positions 354 to 796 of the family's 1533-position model. The record is from RNAcentral.